This 30-nucleotide non-coding RNA is filed under the name Rattus norvegicus (Norway rat). The record is from RNAcentral. Lineage: Eukaryota; Metazoa; Chordata; Mammalia; Rodentia; Muridae.
UAGGAGAAAACCACAAUGGCUACAUUCCCU